AAUCAAAAAAUUUAUUUUUUUAUGGAAACAAUGCCACAGUUGGUAAACUGUCUUCUAACAGUAGCUAAUUGCCAGUGAUUCAGAUAUAACUGAACACUAGUUUCCUAGAUCGAUUCGUUUGGACAGGAUAGGAAGUCCAUUGUUUGUGUGUUGGUGAACUCUAGGAAAUUGAGUCCACCAGUGAUGAACUUGGGAUGUCGUCUGAUAGUCUACAUUU
Molecule: small nucleolar RNA, 217 nt
Filed under: Tetrapisispora phaffii CBS 4417
Lineage: Eukaryota; Fungi; Ascomycota; Saccharomycetes; Saccharomycetales; Saccharomycetaceae
Description: Small nucleolar RNA snR34
Rfam family: Small nucleolar RNA snR34
Source: Rfam by way of RNAcentral